Molecule: ribosomal RNA, 465 nt
Filed under: Vreelandella stevensii
Lineage: Bacteria; Pseudomonadati; Pseudomonadota; Gammaproteobacteria; Oceanospirillales; Halomonadaceae
Description: partial 16S ribosomal RNA
Rfam family: Bacterial small subunit ribosomal RNA
Source: RNAcentral
CCUACGGGCGGCAGCAGUGGGGAAUAUUGGACAAUGGGCGAAAGCCUGAUCCAGCCAUGCCGCGUGUGUGAAGAAGGCCUUCGGGUUGUAAAGCACUUUCAGUGGGGAAGAAAGCCUUGGGGCUAAUACCCUCGAGGAAGGACAUCACCCACAGAAGAAGCACCGGCUAACUCCGUGCCAGCAGCCGCGGUAAUACGGAGGGUGCGAGCGUUAAUCGGAAUUACUGGGCGUAAAGCGCGCGUAGGCGGUCUGAUAAGCCGGUUGUGAAAGCCCCGGGCUCAACCUGGGAACGGCAUCCGGAACUGUCAGGCUAGAGUGCAGGAGAGGAAGGUAGAAUUCCCGGUGUAGCGGUGAAAUGCGUAGAGAUCGGGAGGAAUACCAGUGGCGAAGGCGGCCUUCUGGACUGACACCGACGCUGAGGUGCGAAAGCGUGGGUAGCAAACAGGAUUAGAUACCCCUGUAGUC